GGGGAUAUAGCUCAGUUGGGAGAGCACCUGCCUUGCAAGCAGGGGGUCAGGGGUUCAAAUCCCCUUAUCUCCA
RNAcentral lists this transfer RNA (73 nucleotides) under Pseudomonadota bacterium. Its description in RNAcentral is "tRNA-Ala". It matches the Rfam family "tRNA". From Rfam's summary of the family: Transfer RNA (tRNA) molecules are approximately 80 nucleotides in length. Their secondary structure includes four short double-helical elements and three loops (D, anti-codon, and T loops). RNAcentral also lists the same sequence under 2 other names. The record is from RNAcentral. Lineage: Bacteria; Pseudomonadati; Pseudomonadota.